RNAcentral lists this small RNA (152 nucleotides) under Struthio camelus australis. The record is from RNAcentral. Lineage: Eukaryota; Metazoa; Chordata; Aves; Struthioniformes; Struthionidae.
AAACAAAAAGAGGAUGCAUAGAAGUCCUCCUCCCAUAUUUAUGCAUCUACAUAGAAUGGCUUUAAGCAUCCAGUCAUGCCCAAAUAUGGAAUUAGAAGCCUAAUUCUGGCAAACUUUUUAAAAAUAAUCUUGCAAGGAAUGUUUGUUGGCUU